GAUGAACGCUGGCGGCGUGCCUAAUACAUGCAAGUCGAGCGGACGGACGAGAAGCUUGCUUCUCUGAUGUUUGCGGCGGACGGGUGUGUCACACGUGGAUAACCUACCUAUAAGACUGGGAUCACUUGGGGACACCGGAGCUAAUACCGGAGGAUAUUUUGAACCGCAUGGUUCAAAAGUGAAAGACGGUCUUGCUGUCACUUAUAGAUGGAUCCGCGCUGCAUUAGCUAGUUGGUACGGUAACGGCUUAUUAAGGCAACGAUGCGUAGCCGACGGGAUAGAGUGAUAGGCCGCCUGGGAACGGGACCGCGGACCAGACGCCUAAGAGAGGGAGCAGUAGGGAACCUUACGCAACGGGGGAGAGCAUUACGGAGCAGCCGCGCGUGAGAGAUGACGGUCCUCGGAUCGUAAUGCUCUGUUAUUAGGGAAGAACAUAUGUGUAAGUAACUGUACACAUCUUGACGGUACUUGAUCAGAAAGCCACGGCUAACUACGUG
RNAcentral lists this ribosomal RNA (497 nucleotides) under uncultured bacterium. RNAcentral describes it as "partial 16S ribosomal RNA". It matches the Rfam family "Bacterial small subunit ribosomal RNA", at positions 28 to 507 of the family's 1533-position model. The record is from RNAcentral.